UACGAAGGGGGCUAGCGAUGUUCGGAAUUACUGGGGGUAAAGCGCUAGUAGGUUGAUGAGAAAGUUAGAUGUGAAAGCCCAGGGCUCAACCUUGGAAUUGCAUUUAAAACUACUCAUCUAGAGUCAGCUAGGGGAUGAUGGAAUUCCAUGUGUAGCGGUGAAAUGCGUAGAUAUAUGGAGGAACACCAGAGGCGAAGGCGAUCAUCUGGGGCUGUACUGACACUGAGGAGCGAAAGCGUGGGGAGCAAACAGG
Molecule: ribosomal RNA, 253 nt
Filed under: uncultured bacterium
Lineage: Bacteria
Description: partial 16S ribosomal RNA
Rfam family: Bacterial small subunit ribosomal RNA
Source: RNAcentral